Molecule: long non-coding RNA, 3704 nt
Organism: Piliocolobus tephrosceles (Ugandan red Colobus)
Lineage: Eukaryota; Metazoa; Chordata; Mammalia; Primates; Cercopithecidae
Source: Ensembl
AUAUGAAUGAACCAACAACUGAAUUGAGAAACACGUCAGAUGCACUGUCAAAACUUAAGGAAGAAAGAGAAAAACUAAUACAAUGGUCAAUAAAACUGAAAAGAAAUAAUCCCUCUCUUUUAAAUGCAGAUAAGUUAGAUUCAGAAAGGAAUGAAAAAACAUAUUUAAGUAGUAAUGAAUCAUCUGAUGGGGAGAACAUAGAUAGUAAAAAAAAAGACAUAAAAAAAAAAGACAUAAAAAGAAACGGUAGUAAAAAAUUAACAGAUACUUAUGAUGGUGUAAAAAAAAAUGGAAAUAAAUAUUUUGAAGAUACAUAUAAAGAUAUUGAUGAAGAUAGUGAUUCAUUGUCUGAAUCAUAUAUAGAUAAAAAGAGUGAAUAUAGCGAAGAAACAAAAAAUAUAAAAAUACAAGGUAAUAAGAAUCAAAUUAAUAUAAUGGAUAUACGUAAUAAGAACAAGCACAUGAGUUGUGAUUCUUCGAUAAGUGAAGAUGUAGCAUCGUUAUCGUCCAGUAGUAGCAUACAUGACAGUAACAACAUUAACAACAAGGGUAAUAAAAAAAACAUAAAAUCGUAUGGUGCAAAUAAAAACAAAUGGGGUGAAAAUAAUAUUAUGAAAACAAAUAAAUACCAAAAAAAAAUGAUGCAUCGAACAAAUAUAAUUUUAAAUGAUAAGUUCGAUUCUAAAAUUAACAGUGACAAUUCUAAUGAUUCAAUUCAAAUGAAUAAUCUUUACGAUAGUAAAAAAAAACGUAUGUAUGGUAAUAAUAAUAAUAAUAAUAACAUGUAUGAUGGUAAUAAUGACAUAACAAACAAUAGUAAGAGUAAUUAUUUAAACAUUCUUCCUCACAUUUAUAGUAAAAAAGAGUUUUUUGACAUAUAUAAUAAUAGAAAUAACAUAGAUUCUAAUGCAAUAAUAAAAGUUGAUGAAUAUGUUGAUUAUGAUGUAACAUCAAAUUUGGAGAAUCAACAUACUUUUUCAAAUAGUAAAGAAAGUGAUAUAUUUGACAACACGACUUUAAAAAGUGGAAACAGUUUUCAAAUUAGUAAUCUUAACAAUAACGAAAUUCGAAAUAAAAAAAAAAUAAAAUUAAUAAAAAAAAAAAGCAAACUUAACAAUAUAAACAGUUUUUUAAAUACAAAUACAAAUACAAAUAAUAAUAAUACAAAUAAUAAUAAUAAUAAUAAUAAUAAUACUGGUAUAGUUAAUAAUUAUAUGGAAACUAUUCAAAAACCAAAAAAUAACUUUUUUUAUGAUAGUAACGAUAAUUAUAGCAAUAAUAACCAACAGAAUAAUAAUUAUAAUAAAUUACUAGCAGAAAGUGCAUAUAAAAAUUUGAUACCAAUGUUGUCAAAUUUUAAUACAAAAGACAUCGUAUCGAAUACAACUCUUUUUACAGAAACUAGUGAUGAAAAAAGUAAGAAGGGAGUGAACUCCCACGACAAAAAUCACAGUCCCAGUGGUGGUGUGAAAUCAGAAAAACGAAAAAAUGGUGCAGUAUUAAAAAAACAAGAAAUUAAAAGAAAUGAAAAUGGGUUGAAAAAAAAAGUUCUAAUAUUAGAAAAUAAAAAAGAAGUUUUAAACGAACAAAUGAAAGAUUUAUAUGACAAUACAUAUAGUUUGAUUGAAUCAAAAGAAAAAGACAAUUUAACAAUUCAUCAUUAUGAACUGUUAAUACAAAAUCUACAAACAAAAUAUAAUAAAUUGUUUAAUAUGUAUCAAGAAUUAGACGAACAUCGUAUUGCUUAUGUUGAUGCAUAUAGAGAAAAACAAACAAAAGUUGAAAAUUUAUGUGCAGUAAUGCAAAUUAAAAGUGAAGAGAAUUUAAAAUUAACAGAAGAAAUGAAUAUAUUAAAUAAAAAAAAUGAAGAAUUACAAGGACAAAUUUAUGAAUAUAUUAAAGAUAUAGAAGAGAAAGAAAUUCUAUUGAAUAGAAAAAAAGAAGAGUGUGCUAACUUAAAUGAUUUAGUAAUUACAACGAAUAAAGAAAAAGCAGAAAUAAAAAACGAGUUAGAUAAAAAAAUAAAAGAAGUAAAUGAUUUAACAAAUAAAAAUAAAAACCUAAUAAAAGAAAAUAAUGAAAUAAAACAAAAAUAUAGUAAUUAUGAAAGUAAAAAUAUACGUAACGAUGAAUUUUAUUUGAAAAAAGUUAAUAACUUAUUAGCUAUACUUCAUAAAAUUUUAGAAUUUUUUAAUUUAAACAAAGAAGAUAUAAUUAAAUAUAUUAUUAUAUUUAAACAAAAUUUAUCUAUAAUUGAAGAAAAGUUAAAAAUAAAUAACAGUUUAUAUGAUGAUAUAUUAUUUAUAUUAGAUAAUAAUAUUAUGAACUCUAUUGUUGAUGGUAUAAAAAAUAGAGAACAAGAAUAUAUUGAACAAAAACAAAAUAUGACUAUUUUAUUUGAUAAAGAAAUAUUAAAUGUACAUGAAAUGAAUAUAGAAAAUGUAGAGCUAGCCAAUGAUUUUAUUGAAAAAUUAAAAAAUAAAAUAAAAAAUGUAAUAACUCAAAGAGAUAAUAUAAAAAACAGAACUUUAUUAUUAUCGAAUGGACAAGGUAGAACAAACGAUAAACCAAUAAUCAAAGAAAUUAAAAAAAUGAACGAAGGUACGCUUUUGUUUAAGUGUAAAUAUAAAACUUUUACACAUAAACCUGUAGUCAUAUAUAUGAAAAUGAUUGAUAAUAGAUACAUAACAUGGACAAAAGAUGUGAAGAACAAAAAACGGUUCAAAACAAAAAAUCUAUUGGAUAUACAGAACAUCACGUCAAUAGAAUACGGAUUUAAUAGCAGACCGGUGUACUGGUUAAUUGAAAAGAAAAACAGAGCGAAACUUGAAAAAAAACAAAUUGCCAUGAAUGAAUUUUAUAAUAACACAUAUAACGUAAAUCCGUGUAAAUGCUUUACAGUGCGUACUAAGCAAAGAGCAUAUGAUUUUUUUUCAAACGAUGAUGCCACAAUUGCAACAUGGGUAAUAGGACUUGGCUUGCUAUCGUAUCCAUACAACAAAAGUGCGAACAUUCAGUCAAAAUCAGAGUUUAUUGUUAAAAAAGUGCAAUUAAAACUAAGAUUAUACUGUAUUUUUAAAAAUAUAAAUUAUACGGAACUUUGGAAAGACGCUAUUGAAAUAACCCAAAAAGAAAUGUUAAAAUAGGUUUUAUAUUUGUCUCAUUAUGUAUCAUUUUGUUAUUAUUGUUUAUUUAUUUAUUUUUUUUUUUUUNNNNNNNNNNCUUUUUUACCCUGUUUACCCUUUUUUACCCUGUUUACCCUUUUUUACUCUGUUUACCCUUUUUUACCCUGUUUACCUUAUUUUUUCAAUAAUAUAUAAGUUGCUCGUAAUACUUAUUUUAAAGAAGCUUAAAAUAGUGAAAAAAAUAUGUAACCAAAUUAUAAGCACUUAUAUCUGUUAUAGUUAUACGCACACGUACGUACAUAAUUGUACUUAUAAAUAUGUGCUUAAGGCAUGUCCAUGAUUAUGUUUUGUUUAUUCAUAAUAAUGCAUAUUUUAAUUGGCCCUCUUUUUUCCAUAAAUUUUGUUGACCUAUGUUGCUUUUUUUUUUAAGUUAUUGAAAAAAAAAAAANNNNNNNNNNNNNNNNNNNNNNNNNNNNNNNNNNNNNNNNNNNNNNNNNNNNNNNNNNNNNNNNNNNNNNNNNNNNNNNNNNNNNNNNNNNNNNNNNNNNAAAAAAAAAAAUAAAAUAAAAAAAAAAAUCA